Molecule: ribosomal RNA, 454 nt
Filed under: uncultured Porphyromonadaceae bacterium
Lineage: Bacteria; Pseudomonadati; Bacteroidota; Bacteroidia; Bacteroidales; Porphyromonadaceae
Description: partial 16S ribosomal RNA
Rfam family: Bacterial small subunit ribosomal RNA
Source: RNAcentral
ACGGAAGGCAGCAGUGGGGAAUAUUGGUCAAUGGACGCAAGUCUGAACCAGCCAUGCCGCGUGAAGGAUUAAGGCCCUAUGGGUCGUAAACUUCUUUUGUAUGGGAGCAAUAAGUCCUACGUGUAGGAUGAUGAGAGUACCAUACGAAUAAGCAUCGGCUAAUUCCGUGCCAGCAGCCGCGGUAAUACGGAGGAUGCGAGCGUUAUCCGGAUUUAUUGGGUUUAAAGGGUGCGCAGGCGGCUUUGUAAGUCAGCGGUGAAAUGUCGGGGCUCAACGCCGGAACGGACGUUGAUACGGCAGGGCUUGAAUGCGGAGGCGGUGGGAGGAAUGUGUGGUGUAGCGGUGAAAUGCAUAGAUAUCACACAGAACACCGAUUGCGAAGGCAUCUCACGAAUCCGCGAUUGACGCUGAGGCACGAAAGUGUGGGGAUCAAACAGGAUUAGAUACCCUGGUA